GCCCGAGUAGCUCAGUUGGCAGAGCAGCUGAUUCGUAAUCAGCAGGUCGCCGGUUCAAGUCCGGCUUCGGGCUCCA
Molecule: transfer RNA, 76 nt
Filed under: Actinomycetota bacterium
Lineage: Bacteria; Bacillati; Actinomycetota
Description: Actinobacteria bacterium tRNA-Thr
Rfam family: tRNA
About the family: Transfer RNA (tRNA) molecules are approximately 80 nucleotides in length. Their secondary structure includes four short double-helical elements and three loops (D, anti-codon, and T loops).
Source: RNAcentral